RNAcentral lists this unclassified non-coding RNA (395 nucleotides) under soil metagenome. RNAcentral describes it as "partial contains 5.8S ribosomal RNA, internal transcribed spacer 2, and large subunit ribosomal RNA". The stretch from base 1 to 122 matches the Rfam family "5.8S ribosomal RNA", at positions 35 to 154 of the family's 154-position model. The record is from RNAcentral.
GAUGGAGAACGUAGCGAAAUGCGAUACUUGGUGUGAAUUGCAGAAUCCCGUGAACCAUCGAGUCUUUGAACGCAAGUUGCGCCCGAAGCCAUCAGGUUGAGGGCACGUCUGCCUGGGCGUCACAUAUCGUUGCCCAAUGCCUAUUGCAGUGCAAUAGGAAUUUCUAGGGCGAAUGAUGGCUUCCCGUGAGCGUUGUUGCCUCGCGGUUGGUUGAAAAUCGAGUCCUUGGUAGGGUGUGCCAUGGUAGAUGGUGGUCGAGUUAGAACGAUACCGAUCAUGUGCAUGCUCCCCAAAAUAUGGCCUCUAUGACCCACACGCGUCUUUUGACGCUCAUGACGAGACCUCAGGUCAGGCGGGGCUACCCGCUGAAUUUAAGCAUAUCAAUAAGCGGAGGA